RNAcentral lists this ribosomal RNA (579 nucleotides) under uncultured bacterium. Its description in RNAcentral is "bacterial SSU rRNA". It matches the Rfam family "Bacterial small subunit ribosomal RNA", at positions 338 to 917 of the family's 1533-position model. The record is from RNAcentral.
CCUACGGGAGGCAGCAGUGAGGAAUAUUGGUCAAUGGAGGCAACUCUGAACCAGCCAUGCCGCGUGAAGGAUGACGGCCCUAUGGGUUGUAAACUUCUUUUGAAUAGGAAGAAACUUAUCUACGUGUAGAUAACUGACGGUACUAUUAGAAUAAGGAUCGGCUAACUCCGUGCCAGCAGCCGCGGUAAUACGGAGGAUCCAAGCGUUAUCCGGAUUCAUUGGGUUUAAAGGGUCCGCAGGCGGGGUAUUAAGUCAGUGGUGAAAGCCGGCAGCUUAACUGUCGAAUUGCCAUUGAUACUGGUACUCUUGAGUGUAGUUGAAGUAGGCGGAAUAAGUCAUGUAGCGGUGAAAUGCAUAGAUAUGACUUAGAACACCGAUUGCGAAGGCAGCUUACUAAGCUACUACUGACGCUCAUGGACGAAAGCGUGGGGAGCGAACAGGAUUAGAUACCCUGGUAGUCCACGCCGUAAACGAUGAUCACUCGCUGUUGGCAAUAUACAGUCAGCGGCCAAGCGAAAGCAUUAAGUGAUCCACCUGGGGAGUACGCUCGCAAGAGUGAAACUCAAAGGAAUUGACGGA